Molecule: ribosomal RNA, 467 nt
Filed under: uncultured bacterium
Lineage: Bacteria
Description: partial 16S ribosomal RNA
Rfam family: Bacterial small subunit ribosomal RNA
Source: RNAcentral
GACGAACGCUGGCGGCGUGCUUAACACAUGCAAGUCGAACGGAAAGGCCCUGCUUUUGUGGGGUGCUCGAGUGGCGAACGGGUGAGUAACACGUGAGUAACCUGCCCUUGACUUUGGGAUAACUUCAGGAAACUGGGGCUAAUACCGGAUAGGAGCUCCUGCUGCAUGGUGGGGGUUGGAAAGUUUCGGCGGUUGGGGAUGAACUCGCGGCUUAUCAGCUUGUUGGUGGGGUAGUGGCUUACCAAGGCUUUGACGGGUAGCCGGCCUGAGAGGGUGACCGGCCACAUUGGGACUGAGAUACGGCCCAGACUCCUACGGGAGGCAGCAGUGGGGAAUAUUGCACAAUGGGCGGAAGCCUGAUGCAGCAACGCCGCGUGCGGGAGGACGGCCUUCGGGUUGUAAACCGCUUUCGCCUGUGACGAAGCGUGAGUGACGGUAAUGGGUAAAGAAGCACCGGCUAACUACGU